GGGAGACACACCGGAUUAAAUUGGGAGCACAAUACAUACACACUGCACAAAGAGACGGAGAUUACAGAAUUCGGUGACCAACGGAUUUGGUUGCAGAUGUGGGGCAGUCCCUCUGGCUGGGGUGCAGUUUCUCAUCCUUCUCUGGUGAGUGACUAGAUGGCUGCGGUUUCGUAGCAAAAAGCAUGCCAUGGUAUAUAUCUAGGAAAUAAAUAUUUUUUUGUGAAACUAGGGUUGUACACAUCUAACACACAGGCCACACGAACUGUACAGCUCCCACUCUAACGCACAUCCCCCAAAU
Non-coding RNA from Pelobates cultripes (western spadefoot toad), 298 nucleotides. The record is from the annotation of a GenBank genome assembly. Lineage: Eukaryota; Metazoa; Chordata; Amphibia; Anura; Pelobatidae.